RNAcentral lists this long non-coding RNA (1109 nucleotides) under Homo sapiens (human). RNAcentral's name for it is "non-protein coding lnc-NCBP2-AS2-1:2". Lineage: Eukaryota; Metazoa; Chordata; Mammalia; Primates; Hominidae. The record is from RNAcentral.
AUAUUAAUAGCAGUUGAAAUAGAAUUUAAGGUGAGAAGCAAAUUGUGUAAUUAUCAGAUUUCAAUAUAAAGGAGAUAUAAUGACCAAUCUUUAUGCACCAAAGCACACAGUUGCUAAAUAUGUGUAAUACAAUUAAAACAGAAACAAGAGGACCUUGGUAAAAUAGUGAUAGUGGCAGACUUUUCUCAUAAGUGGAUAAAUCUAGUAGACAAUAAAGACAUAUACAAAAAUUACAGUCAAUAUAAUUGAUUUAAUAGAUGUUUAUGCUCCUUAAGAGAAUAUACAUUUAUUGCUAUGGUUCAGGAAUAUUUGUAAAAAUUGAACAUGUACUUAGCCACAAAGAAAAUUAUUUUUUAUUAGCCGGGCAAGGUGGCAUUUGGGAGCCCGAGGCUGGUCUCGAACUCCUGGCCUCAAGUGAUCUGCCUGCCUCAGCCUCCCAAAGUGCUGGGAUUACAGGCAUGAGCCACUGUGCCUGGCCAAGAAAGGCUCUUAAACAUAUAAAAAGUUGCAUAACUUCACAGUAAAAGAAAAGCAAAUGAAAACCACACUGAGUGACAGAUAAAUGCAGUAAGUUAAUCUUGAUUGGAUCCUGGACUGGAAGAGAUGCAAUAUUUUGGGUAAAUUAGGGGAAAUUUUAGUAUAGACUAAUAUAUUCAGGGGUCAGUGAUCUUUUUCUGAAAGAGCCAGAUAAUAAAUACUUUGGAUUUUGCAGACCUUAUGGUCUUUGAUUUAUCUACUGACCUGUUACAGCACAGAAGCAGAUGUAGAUAAUACCCAAGUAAUGAGUGUGGCUGUGUUUCAAUUAAACUUAAUAAAAACUGGCAGUGGGCCAUACUUGGUCAUUCAUGCAUUAGAUGAUAUUAGUAAACUGAUGUUAAAUAUCUUGUGUGUUCAGAGAUAGUGAGAUUGUGGUUAUAUAGGAGAAAACAUCUAAAGUAGGUAGGGGUAAAAUAUUGUGAUUGAUGUCUCCCUCCAAAAAAAUUGUACAAGUAUAUGCAAAAAAAUAAAAAGCCAGGCAAAGUGGUAGGUGCUUAUAGUUCCAGCUACUCCGGAGGCUGAGGCAGGAGCAUUACUUGAGCCCAGAGGUUUGCUUUAAAAAAAAAAAAAAA